This 444-nucleotide long non-coding RNA is filed under the name Salmo salar (Atlantic salmon). Its description in RNAcentral is "lncRNA (ENSSSAG00000107351.1)". The record is from RNAcentral. Lineage: Eukaryota; Metazoa; Chordata; Actinopteri; Salmoniformes; Salmonidae.
ACAUUGAUGAAUGGAAAUCGUCGGGGAUGACGCUGUCUAUACUUUUUUUUCUCUAUCAAUCUUCUGUUUCGGACUCGUCAUGUCUGCAUUUCGACUGGAGUAAAGUUUUCCAACAUGUGAUCUAGUUUAUGACCGGGUUUUCUUCAGCCUACAGCCGUUCUCUGUCUGAAGGAUGGGAUAGGGACAUGGCAAGUUGUCAGGAGGACGAUGUUUAAAGGGAAAACGAGUUAACGCCUCUGGCAAUCAGCGCUCCCACUGGCUCCCGGCUAAUUGACAAGGACGAGGUCUUUUAUCUGGGCCUCUGGGCCUCUGCAACAAACACUUGGAUUCCAUUAAAUACACUCUCCUUCAGACAAUCAACAUGACGGAGCAAAGUCCAGAUCCACGGAGAUCCAACAAGGACAAAUGAUACAAGGAGAAAGAUACCUCUCAGCAGACACACUG